RNAcentral lists this long non-coding RNA (728 nucleotides) under Solanum pimpinellifolium. RNAcentral's name for it is "long non-coding RNA (SPIM_LNC000077)". Lineage: Eukaryota; Viridiplantae; Streptophyta; Magnoliopsida; Solanales; Solanaceae. The record is from RNAcentral.
CUAGAUGUAAAUUCUCAGGCCCUAGCCCGAAAUUCUUACUUCAUUCAUCACAGUUCCAGGCCCGUAGGAAUGGCUUUCUCCUUCUCCAAUUGUCGGGAGAGGUUUUCCGCUCCGGUCGUCCGGAAUUUUUUUUCGUAAAAAAGAAAGUAAAAAACAAGUGAGGAACCCUGGAAAUAAAAUGUUUGUUCCGAUAACGGGAAAGUUUAUCCCUCUGAUCUUAGUUGCGGCCCCCCGAUCAAACUAGAGCGUAAGGGCGCUUUUUUGUUUGCAUGAGUCCCGGCUUCUUUCCAACGGGCAGAUGACAUCUCUUGCCUGGUGAAUCAGCAUGUUCNAUUUGUUCCGAUAACGAGAAAGUUUAUCCCUCUGAUCUUAGUUGCGGCCCCCCGAUCAAACUAGAGCAAACUACAACAAAAGCAAGUGCGCCGGUCGGAUUGACUAAACCAAUGCAACAAUCAAGAAGGCGAUCGAGAAGACAUGAGUUCCCAAACUGUAGUAUAAGUCUUUAUCGCAGAUGUGAGCUUCCCCUCAUCUUACUUCCCGCCACAAAGACAAUAAGAGAAGGAAACCUCUAACAAUAAAGAAGAUGUACUACAACCGCAUACACAUACCCUCGAUACAAAGCAAGAAAGAAAGCAGUCCUCGCCUCGGGUGAGCCCAGAAGUCAAGCAAGAAUCGACUUCACACACUAAGAAUAUCAUCAUUAUCUGAGAAAGAGCUUAAAAGAUCAA